Molecule: ribosomal RNA, 440 nt
Filed under: uncultured bacterium
Lineage: Bacteria
Description: partial 16S ribosomal RNA
Rfam family: Bacterial small subunit ribosomal RNA
Source: RNAcentral
CCUACGGGAGGCAGCAGUGGGGAAUAUUGCACAAUGGGGGCAACCCUGAUGCAGCGACGCCGCGUGAAUGAAGAAGUCAUUCGUUAUGUAAAGCUCUUUCAGCAGGGAAGAAAAUGACGGUACCUGUGUAAGAAGCCACGGAUAACUCCGUGCCAGCAGCCGCGGUACUACGGAGGGUGCGAGCGUUAAUCGGAAUUACUGGGCGUAAAGCGCUCGUUGGCGGUAUGUCAAGUCACGGGUGAAAUCCCCGCGCUCAACGUGGGAACUGCCUUUGAGACUGGCAAACUGGAGUGUGUGAGAGGAUAGUGGAAUUCCAGGUGUAGGGGUGAAAUCCGUAGAUAUCUGGAGGAACAUCAGUGGCGAAGGCGACUAUCUGGCACAUAACUGACGCUGAGGAGCGAAAGCGUGGGUAGCAAACAGGAUUAGAUACCCCUGUAGUC